RNAcentral lists this ribosomal RNA (799 nucleotides) under uncultured marine eukaryote. Its description in RNAcentral is "bacterial SSU rRNA". It matches the Rfam family "Eukaryotic small subunit ribosomal RNA", at positions 618 to 1502 of the family's 1831-position model. The record is from RNAcentral.
GUUGAAACGCUCGUAGUCUGAGGUAAAUCCUUUUGGAAUAACCGAUCGCCUGCCUAGCCAUCUGGCUGGGUAGAUCACGACGGUUUUUCACCUUGAAUAAAUCAGAGUGUUCAAGGCAGGCAUAGCCUGAAUACUUCCGCAUGGAAUGAGACGAAAAUUACUUCCCUUGUUUCGGUGCUUGGGUUUGUAAAUAUCUUUAGGAACAGUCGAGGACAUUAGUACUUAAUCGAGAGAGGUGAAAUUCUUGGACCGAUUAAUGACUAACAAAAGCGAAAGCAUCUGCCAAGGAUGUUUUCUUUGAUCAAGAACGAAGGUCGGGGUAUCGAAGACGAUCAGAUACCGUCGUAGUCCUGACUGUAAACUAUGCCGACUGGAGUUCCAUUGAGAAGCAUUCGACUCAGUGGGGAUCCAGAGAGAAAUCAAAGUUUUUGGGUUCUGGGGGAAGUAUGGUCGCAAGGCUGAAACUUGAAGGAAUUGACGGAAGGGCACCACCAGGCGUGGAGCUUGCGGCUUAAUUUGACUCAACGCGGGAAAACUUACCAGGUCAAAACAUGGUAAUGAUUGACAGGCUGAUAGUCCUUUCUCGAUUCCAUGGCUGGUGGUGCAUGGCCGUUCUUAGUUGGUGGACUGAUCUGUCUGGUUAAUUCCGGUAACGAACGAGACCUUGGCCUGCUAAUUAGGGGUGUUACUAUUGCAAUACCGCCUUCUUAGAGGGACAAUGAUGGUUACAUCACUGAAAGCUCGAGGCAAUAACAGGUCUGUUAUGCCCUUAGAUGUCCUGGGUCGCACGCGUGCUACA